Molecule: long non-coding RNA, 942 nt
Organism: Amblyraja radiata (thorny skate)
Lineage: Eukaryota; Metazoa; Chordata; Chondrichthyes; Rajiformes; Rajidae
Exons: 6
Source: RefSeq, a predicted model, not a curated record
CUGGCUCAGCAGACACUGGGAUCUGUGGAAAAACUUUCAUUCAGUGGACUGGGACUGACCCCGAUUGACUGUGCAGUCCUGUCUCAUGCCAUCAGGCUCUGUGAUACAAUCAAAGACCUAGAUCUGGAGAGCUGCCACAUUCAGUGUGAAGGUUCCAGCGGCUGGGACCGGCUCUGCACAAGUGUCAGUGCGUGAGACUGGGGAGACAACGACCUGGGAGAUUCCGGUGUGAAACUGGCGUCUGCGGCUCUGAGGAACCCGGACUGUAAAAUACACACACUGCGGCUGCAACGUGUCGGUCUCACAGAUUCUGGAGCCGAGGAUCUCGUCUCCGCUCUCAGUACAAACCACACGGUUACGUGGCUGGACCUAAGUGGGAAUAAACUGGGAAAUUCCGGAGUGAAACUGGUGUCUGCGGCUCUGUGGAACCCGGACUGUAAAAUACAGAGACUGUGGCUGCAACGUGUCGGUCUCACAGAUUCUGGAGCCGAGGAUCUCGUCUCCACUCUCAGUACAAAGCCCUCACUGACGAAGCUGUACCUGACACACAAACUCCCUCACAGACCGAUGUGUCCCCGCUCUCCCCGCCUCAUACUGAACCUCCCGAGUCUGGAGCUGAUCGGGGUGAGGGUGAAUAAGUUCAGUGCGACUGGGAAGAAGGAACUGAGGUCGCUGCAGGACUCCAGACCCGGACUGAGAGUGGACGUGUGAACAUCUCUGGGUGUAAACGUCACCGCCGUGGGGACCGGAAUAUUGUUGGCCGAUUCCUCGCCCUCCCCUUUAAACGGCCGCCCUCGCCUUUAAACCCCAACGCUUCCCGGGCCGGCCGGGCGGUGACAUCAGAGGCGACCCUGCCCGCUGUCACGUGACCCGGGUACGCGCUGCUGCUGCUGAUGCCGGAUAUCCGGUGCUGCCCUCCAGUGGGGGACGGGGGAAUUGCAG